CACCGAUGGCGAAAUCCGGAUUAUUGUUGAUAUUCCUGGUGGUUCUCUUUGUGGAGUUCACGUUCGCGGUGAGUCCGUCACCGGCUCCUUCGCCAGAUUUGGCGGCUGAUUCCCCUCCACUGCCUGUUCCGGCACCGGAUUCUGGAUCUCCGUUGCAUGCGCCGGCAGAAUCGCCGGUGGAGCCAGUGUCGCCUCCAGCUCCCUCGAUGAGGAGUCCCGCACCGGCGUCAGCACCAGCGAACUCCGAUGCGCCGGAGCGUUCCCCGGUGCCUGUGCCUGUGCCAUCGCCUGCGCCGAGUCCAAGCGAAGCGAGUGAUGUAAACCACGAGAACGUAUCGGCGAAUGUAGAUGAUGGACAGAGCUCGGGUGACGGCGGGAUGAGCGGGGGGAAGAAGGCGGGGAUCGUGCUUGGAGUGGUGGUUGCAGCAUGUUUGGUUGGGUUAGGAGGAUUGGUGUACAAGAAGAGGAGGGAUAACGUCAAGAGGACUCAAUACGGGUAUGCGGCAAGAAGGGAGCUACUGUGAUUCCGAUUCAGAUUCUUUCAUGGUUAAUUAUUAUAUUUUACUAGUUU
RNAcentral lists this long non-coding RNA (571 nucleotides) under Carica papaya (papaya). RNAcentral's name for it is "long non-coding RNA (CPAP_LNC004373)". Lineage: Eukaryota; Viridiplantae; Streptophyta; Magnoliopsida; Brassicales; Caricaceae. The record is from RNAcentral.